RNAcentral lists this ribosomal RNA (253 nucleotides) under uncultured bacterium. Its description in RNAcentral is "partial 16S ribosomal RNA". It matches the Rfam family "Bacterial small subunit ribosomal RNA", at positions 524 to 776 of the family's 1533-position model. The record is from RNAcentral.
GACAGAGGGUGCAAACGUUGCUCGGAAUUACUGGGCGUAAAGCGCGUGUAGGCGGGUCUUUAAGUCAGGGGUGAAAUGCCAAGGCUCAACCUUGGAACUGCCUUUGAUACUGGAGACCUUGAGUCCGGGAGAGGUGAGUGGAAUUGCGAGUGUAGAGGUGAAAUUCGUAGAUAUUCGCAAGAACACCAGUGGCGAAAGCGGCUCUCUGGGACGGUACUGACGCUGAGACGCGAAAGCGUGGGGAGCAAACAGG